This 535-nucleotide long non-coding RNA is filed under the name Homo sapiens (human). RNAcentral describes it as "non-protein coding lnc-SNTA1-3:1". The record is from RNAcentral. Lineage: Eukaryota; Metazoa; Chordata; Mammalia; Primates; Hominidae.
CAGCGGCGGACCUGUGAGGGGAUCCGACUUGCCGGCAGAACUUACGCUGCGGGACCCCGGGCACUGUUGCUGCUGCGGGAGGGAGAAGGCUGAGCAGACCAUCUGGAACCGUUUACAUCAGCUUAAAGCCUUGAAGACAAGGCGGCCCCGCUCCCGGGUUCCUCUGAGGAUUGGAAUUCUAGGUCAAUCAUGCGAGGCUGUGACAACAUGUGUAGCUACUGCAUUGUUCCUUUCACCCGGGGCAGGGAGAGGAGUCGGCCUAUUGCCUCCAUUCUAGAGGAAGUGAAGAAGCUUUCUGAGCAGGUGUGAGCCUCAGCAGCGAUUUCAUUGCUGGCUUUUGUGGUGAGACGGAGGAAGAUCACGUCCAGACAGUCUCUUUGCUCCGGGAAGUUCAGUACAACAUGGGCUUCCUCUUUGCCUACAGCAUGAGACAGAAGACACGGGCAUAUCAUAGGCUGAAGGAUGAUGUCCCGGAAGAGGUAAAAUUAAGGCGUUUGGAGGAACUCAUCACUAUCUUCCGAGAAGAAGCAACAAA